RNAcentral lists this ribosomal RNA (427 nucleotides) under uncultured bacterium. Its description in RNAcentral is "bacterial SSU rRNA". It matches the Rfam family "Bacterial small subunit ribosomal RNA", at positions 355 to 774 of the family's 1533-position model. The record is from RNAcentral.
UGGGGAAUUUUGGACAAUGGGCGCAAGCCUGAUCCAGCAAUGCCGCGUGCAGGAUGAAGGCCUUCGGGUUGUAAACUGCUUUUGUACGGAACGAAACGGCUCUGUCUAAUACAUGGGGCUAAUGACGGUACCAUCAGAAGAAGCACCGGCUAACUACGUGCCAGCAGCCGCGGUAAUACGUAGGGUGCGAGCGUUAAUCGGAAUUACUGGGCGUAAAGCGUGCGCAGGCGGUUGUGUAAGACAGAUGUGAAAUCCCCGGGCUCAACCUGGGAACUGCGUUUGUGACUGCAUAACUAGAGUACGGCAGAGGGAGGUGGAAUUCCGCGUGUAGCAGUGAAAUGCGUAGAUAUGCGGAGGAACACCGAUGGCGAAGGCAGUCCCCUGGACCUGUACUGACGCUCAUGCACGAAAGCGUGGGGAGCAAACA